This 502-nucleotide ribosomal RNA is filed under the name uncultured bacterium. Its description in RNAcentral is "bacterial SSU rRNA". It matches the Rfam family "Bacterial small subunit ribosomal RNA", at positions 791 to 1297 of the family's 1533-position model. The record is from RNAcentral.
UAGUCCACGCUGUAAACGAUGAUCACUAAGUGUUCGGCCUUCGGGUUGGGUGCUCAAGCGAAAGCGAUAAGUGAUCCACCUGGGGAGUACGUCGGCAACGAUGAAACUCAAAGGAAUUGACGGGGGCCCGCACAAGCGGUGGAGCAUGUGGUUUAAUUCGAUGAUACGCGAGGAACCUUACCUAGGCUAUAAUGUGAGUGCUAUCUGGUAAAAGCCGGAGUUCCUUCGGGACACGAAACAAGGUGCUGCAUGGUUGUCGUCAGCUCGUGCCGUGAGGUGUUGGCUUAAGUGCCGCAACGAGCGCAACCCCUAUUGUUAGUUGCCAGCGAGUAAUGUCGGGGACUCUAACAAGACUGCCGGCGUAAGCCGGGAGGAAGGUGGGGAUGACGUCAAAUCAUCAUGGCCUUUAUGCCUAGGGCUACACACGUGCUACAAUGGACGGUACAGAGGGUUGCUAACCCGCGAGGGGGUGCUAAUCUCAGAAAGCCGUUCCCAGUUCGGA